This 1236-nucleotide ribosomal RNA is filed under the name metagenome. RNAcentral describes it as "bacterial LSU rRNA". It matches the Rfam family "Bacterial large subunit ribosomal RNA", at positions 1564 to 2808 of the family's 2925-position model. The record is from RNAcentral.
UGAGUACGAGAUGCUACGGCAUCGAAGCAGUCUAUGUCAUACUUCCAAGAAAAGCUUGCAAUGUCAUAAACAAAUAAUGCCUGUACCAUAACCGACACAGGUGGGUAGGUAGAGUAUACUAAGGGGCGCGAGAUAACUCUCUCUAAGGAACUCGGCAAAAUGACUCCGUAACUUCGGGAGAAGGAGUGCCUUAUUUUUAUAAGGUUGCAAUAACAAGAUCCAAGCAACUGUUUACCAAAAACACAGGUCUCCGCUAAGUCGUAAGACGAUGUAUGGGGGCUGACGCCUGCCCAGUGCCAGAAGGUUAAAGAAGUUGGUUAGCAUUAGCGAAGCUGAUAACUGAAGCCCUGGUGAACGGCGGCCGUAACGAUAACGGUCCUAAGGUAGCGAAAUUCCUUGUCGGGUAAGUUCCGACCCGCACGAAAGGCGUAAUGAUUUGGAUACUGUCUCGGAGAGGGGCUCGGUGAAAUAGACUUGUCUGUGAAGAUGCGGACUACCUGCACCUGGACAGAAAGACCCUAUGAAGCUUUACUGUAACUUGAGAUUGAAAUUGGACUUUAUCUGCGCAGUAUAGGUGGGAGACGUUGAAAAUAUUCUUGCGGGAAUAUUGGAGUCAUCAGUGAGAUACCACUCUUAUAAUGUUAGAUUUCUAACUUUGUAUCAUUAUCUGGUCAAAGAACAGUUUCAGGCGGGCAGUUUGACUGGGGCGGUCGCCUCCCAAACGGUAACGGAGGCGCACAAAGGUUUCCUCUGAACGUGUAGAAAUCGUAUCUAGAGUGUAAAGGCAUAAGGAAGCUUGACUGUGAGACCUACAAGUCGAGCAGGGACGAAAGUCGGUCUUAGUGAUCUGACGGUGCUGAGUGGAAAGGCCGUCACUCAACGGAUAAAAGUUACUCUAGGAUAACAGGCUGAUCUCCCCCAAGAGUUCACAUCGACGGGGAGGUUUGGCACCUUGAUGUCGGCUCAUCGCAUCCUGGGGCGGUAGUACGUCCCAAGGGUUGGGCUGUUCGCCCAUGAAAGCGGUACGCGAGCUGGGUUCAGAACGUCGUGAGACAGUUCGGUCCAUAUCCGGUGUAGGCGUUAGAAUAUUGAGAGGAGCCUUCUUUAGUACGAGAGGACCGAGAAGGACAUACCUCUGGUGUACCAGUUAUCGUGCCAACGGUAAACGCUGGGUAGCCAUGUAUGGAGAGGAUAACCGCUGAAAGCAUCUAAGUGGGAAGCCCACCUCAAGAUAAG